UACAGAGGUCUCAAGCGUUGUUCGGAUUCAUUGGGCGUAAAGGGUGCGUAGGUGGUUGGGUAAGUCAAAUGUGAAAUCCCGGAGCUCAACUCCGGAACCGCAUUCGAUACUGCCCGGCUCGAGGAUUGGAGAGGAGACUGGAAUUCACGGUGUAGCAGUGUAAUGCGUAGAGAUCGUGAGGAACACCCGUGGCGAAGGCGGGUCUCUGGACAAUUCCUGACACUGAGGCACGAAGGCCAGGGGAGCAAACGCG
RNAcentral lists this ribosomal RNA (253 nucleotides) under uncultured bacterium. Its description in RNAcentral is "partial 16S ribosomal RNA". It matches the Rfam family "Bacterial small subunit ribosomal RNA", at positions 524 to 776 of the family's 1533-position model. The record is from RNAcentral.